AGUUCUCAACCAUAUUGAUAUUUUUUGAUGUGGCUUUGGAUGUGGAGGUUUUUGCAGGCUUUGAAAUUUUAAGUCAGCUCCUCUGAAAUGAAUUAGUGGUAUCUGAGCAGUAGAAUUACUAUAGGUGUGAUAAAUUUGUCUAUGCCUUGGUAUGCUGCAUGAACAGAUUGCACUGCUUCUAACAAGUGGAAACACAUUUCGAUGA
RNAcentral lists this unclassified non-coding RNA (205 nucleotides) under uncultured Inocybe. RNAcentral's name for it is "sequence contains ITS2". Lineage: Eukaryota; Fungi; Basidiomycota; Agaricomycetes; Agaricales; Cortinariaceae. The record is from RNAcentral.